Molecule: RNase P RNA, 388 nt
Filed under: Alphaproteobacteria bacterium
Lineage: Bacteria; Pseudomonadati; Pseudomonadota; Alphaproteobacteria
Description: RNase P RNA component class A
Rfam family: Bacterial RNase P class A
About the family: Ribonuclease P (RNase P) is a ubiquitous endoribonuclease, found in archaea, bacteria and eukarya as well as chloroplasts and mitochondria.
Source: RNAcentral
GCAGAUGACUGGGCAAUCGCUCUUUUAACCUUAGGGUUUUAAUUUUAGGGUUUUAGGAGAGGAAAGUCCGGGCUCCACGGAAACACGGUGCCGGCUAACGCCCGGCCAAGGCGACUUGAGGGAAAGUGCCACAGAAAAUAUACCGCCAUUUAUGGUGCUGCCAUUAUGGUAAGGGUGAAAAGGUGCGGUAAGAGCGCACCGCAUGGCCGGCAACGGGCAUGGCAUGGUAAACCCCACCGGGAGCAAGACCAAACAGAACGUUAACCGUUUCCGUAUCGGCGUUCAGGUAGGUUGCAUGAGGUGUUCGGCAACGAACUCCCUAGAUGAAUGAUUGCCAUCCAUAGCUUCGGCGAUGGUACAGAACCCGGCUUAUAGGUCAUCUGCUUUA